AUGGAGAUGGGCAUUGUGAAACAAGUCCUCAUCGAUGUCCUCCGUGACCAUCAUUGCACCGUCCGUCGCCGGCCUUCCAAUGACCCUUGCUCUGCCAGAUCCACCACCCCGUCGGCCGAGAGGGGGGGAGGGGGUCGGAGCCGGAGGUGCCAAGUCUCCUGCCAUGCCACAUCCAAGAAGAAGAAGCAACAGGUUGUGCCGCAUCCAAGAAGAAGUUGUCGUCCAAACCAAGAAGUAAUAGAAGCUGGGCUAAUAUACCUAUCGAAGAAGCAGCCAACGGGUCGUCUUCCAACAUCUCUUCUCUAG
Molecule: ribosomal RNA, 306 nt
Filed under: Triticum aestivum (bread wheat)
Lineage: Eukaryota; Viridiplantae; Streptophyta; Magnoliopsida; Poales; Poaceae
Description: partial small subunit ribosomal RNA
Source: RNAcentral